CAGCAGCCACGGGAAUACAGAGGGUGCAAGCGUUAAUCGGAAUUACUGGGCGUAAAGCGUGCGCAGGCGGUUGUGUAAGACAGGUGUGAAAUCCCCGGGCUUAACCUGGGAAUUGCAUUUGUGACUGCACGACUAGAGUGUGUCAGAGGGGGGUGGAAUUCCACGUGUAGCAGUGAAAUGCGUAGAUAUGUGGAGGAACACCAAUGGCGAAGGCAGCCCCCUGGGAUAACACUGACGCUCAUGCACGAAAGCGUGGGGAGCAAACAGGAUUAGAUACCCCCGUAGUCCCUGUCUCUUAUAC
Molecule: ribosomal RNA, 301 nt
Filed under: uncultured bacterium
Lineage: Bacteria
Description: partial 16S ribosomal RNA
Rfam family: Bacterial small subunit ribosomal RNA
Source: RNAcentral